UGAAUACGAGACGCUAAGGCGUCGAAGUAGUGUAUGUCAUACUUCCAAGAAAAGCUUGCACUGUCAUAGAUAAAAAACGCCUGUACCAUAACCGACACAGGUGGGUAGGUAGAGUAUACUAAGGGGCGCGAGAUAACUCUCUCUAAGGAACUCGGCAAAAUAACUCCGUAACUUCGGGAGAAGGAGUGCCUUAUUCGUAAGGUUGCAAUAACAAGAUCCAAGCAACUGUUUAUCAAAAACACAGGUCUCCGCUAAGUCGUAAGACGAUGUAUGGGGGCUGACGCCUGCCCAGUGCCAGAAGGUUAAAGAAGUUGGUUAGCAAUUGCGAAGCUGAUAACUGAAGCCCUGGUGAACGGCGGCCGUAACCAUAACGGUCCUAAGGUAGCGAAAUUCCUUGUCGGGUAAGUUCCGACCCGCACGAAAGGCGUAAUGAUUUGGAUACUGUCUCGGAGAGGGGCUCGGUGAAAUAGACUUGUCUGUGAAGAUGCGGACUACCUGCACCAGGACAGAAAGACCCUAUGAAGCUUUACUGUAACUUGAAAUUGAAAUUGGACUUUAUUCGCGCAGUAUAGGUGGGAGGCGUUGAUUAUAAUCUUGUGGGAUUAUUGGAGCCAUCAGUGAGAUACCACUCUUGUAAUGUUAGAUUUCUAACUUUGAAUCAUUAUCUGGUCAAAGAACAGUUUCAGGCGGGCAGUUUGACUGGGGCGGUCGCCUCCUAAACGGUAACGGAGGCGUACAAAGGUUUCCUCUGAACGGUUAGAAAUCGUAUCUAGAGUGUAAAGGCAUAAGGAAGCUUGACUGUGAGACCUACAAGUCGAGCAGGGACGAAAGUCGGUCUUAGUGAUCUGACGGUACUGAGUGGAAAGGCCGUCACUCAACGGAUAAAAGUUACUCUAGGAUAACAGGCUGAUCUCCCCCAAGAGUUCACAUCGACGGGGAGGUUUGGCACCUCGAUGUCGGCUCAUCGCAUCCUGGAGCGGUAGUACGUCCCAAGGGUUGGGCUGUUCGCCCAUGAAAGCGGUACGCGAGCUGGGUUCAGAACGUCGUGAGACAGUUCGGUCCAUAUCCGGUGUAGGCGUUAGAAUAUUGAGAGGAGCCUUCUUUAGUACGAGAGGACCGAGAAGGACAUACCUCUGGUGUACCAGUUAUCGUGCCAACGGUAAACGCUGGGUAGCUAUGUAUGGAGUGGAUAACCGCUGAAAGCAUCUAAGUGGGAAGCCCACCUCAAGAUAAG
Molecule: ribosomal RNA, 1234 nt
Filed under: metagenome
Description: bacterial LSU rRNA
Rfam family: Bacterial large subunit ribosomal RNA
Source: RNAcentral